GGGGAUUUGGCUCAGUGGUAGAGCACUUGCCUAGCAAGUGCAAGGCCCUGGGUUCGGUUCCCAGCUCCG
This 69-nucleotide transfer RNA is filed under the name Rattus norvegicus (Norway rat). It matches the Rfam family "tRNA". Rfam says of the family: Transfer RNA (tRNA) molecules are approximately 80 nucleotides in length. Lineage: Eukaryota; Metazoa; Chordata; Mammalia; Rodentia; Muridae. The record is from Rfam by way of RNAcentral.